Molecule: small nucleolar RNA, 84 nt
Organism: Cucurbita pepo subsp. pepo (vegetable marrow)
Lineage: Eukaryota; Viridiplantae; Streptophyta; Magnoliopsida; Cucurbitales; Cucurbitaceae
Product: small nucleolar RNA snoR53Y
Source: RefSeq, a predicted model, not a curated record
GUUCCCUAUGAUGUUUUACUUUUUAAACCAUGCUAAUACUGAUCACAUGAUGAUUGAUCUUCAACUCUUGUCUCUGAGGGAACU